GGGGACGAUGAGUGAGUUUCCGCAGUUGAAGGUGUGUUUCGUGGAUUUCAUGUAUUUGGCGUAGGUUGUGAGCAAGAAUGUUAUCGAUGUCACGUAUUGUAGAUUGCUCUGAGUGUACUUUGUUGACGAGGAGGGAGAAUUUGGAAGGAUCUUGCACAUGAAAUUCUCAGCUGCUUGCUUGUAGGGCUCAAAGUUGUUGUCUUUGUUUAGUACUGCUCUCUGCGAAAGAUAUAGUUUGUGAAUCGUUGAACUAAUUAGGAAAUGCUUAAGUUUGUGUAUGUGAAUUUAUAAGGAUUGGGCCAUACUCGUGAGAGAAGAACAUAGGCACCGGCGUAUUUAUUGUCCCAACUGAAGAUGUCAGGCUGAUCUCCACCUCCUAAGGAUUUUAUGAAGUUUGUGUAAUACGGGUCGUUGGUUGCUCUAUGCAGCCAUGCCGCUCCCCACACCAGCUCGUCCUGUUACCAUAAGAUUGGAAAGUGUAGUUUGGUUGCAAUGAUUCAUGGAUAUGUCUCUCUCAGAUUAGGAUCAUGGUAAACAUAUGAAUGCAGACCUUGUAGCCAGAGUAGGAGCAGUAAAAAGGACAGACGGAAGAGGAAAGGGAGUCACUAUAAGCGCCUCGGUAUUGAAUUGCGAACUGCAUGACCUUCUUUGCUGUCGCCAGGAGCAAGCGAGAGUACUUGGGAUCAACUUUCCUGAAAACCAUGGAGCUUGCAGCUAGAGCAGCAGCGGUUUCAGCGGCUACAUCAGAGCCAGGGUUUGAGGAAGAUACAGAGUAGACUGUGCGAGGAGUGUCCAUAUCUUCUGGGCGUUCCCAGCACUUGUGAUCACCAUUAGGGUCUCCUACUCCAACAUAAAGCUUCCCGGGUGUGGCCCUGGCACAUUUCAGUAGAUAGUCUGUGGCCCAACGGAUGGCCACACGGGAGUUCUGGAGUUCGGAUCCCAUCUUCUUACCAUACUCCAAAGAGCUCCAGGAGAGCAUCGUGGUAGUGAACGCCAUAGGGAAAUUGAACUUCACAUUGUCCCCAGCAUCAUAGUAGCCUCCUGUCAAGUCCACCUGCAACUCAUCAUAGUUAACCAUGUUAUCCAAAUUGAUGUUAUACGCUUCUACUGCUACUGGCAAUGGGUAUAUAGUUUUAGGGUCUUACAUGAGCAGAGGAGCCAUCAGAGAGGCCAGAGCUAGACCUCCAUGAGAGUUUUUGAUCACCGGGGAGGCGGCCAGACCGCUGACCUUGGAAAAAGAGUAAUGACUUUGAGAGUGCUUCUCUGUAAUUGGGACUGGCAUAUGUAUUCUCCAGUGAAAGUGCAGAGAGAAGGAGGAACACAAAGAAGAAAGGAGAAGCCAUUCUUGUAAUUGUGUUGGCUUGAAGGUACGACUUCAUCACACACGUAUAUAUAUAGCCAGAGAAUGAGACCGGGGCUGAUGAGAUUCAGAGCGAAGAUUAUGGCUUUUUGAAUUUCAGCUUAACUGCUAAAAAAACGGUUCUUAGUUACUUCAAUUUGAAUCCCCUUUUCUAUUUUUUUUACUAAUAGUUUAUAGAACUGACAAGUGGAUAACAUGUACUAUUAUCUCUCAUCUUCUUAAUAUGUUCAAUUUUUAACUAA
This is a long non-coding RNA of Arabidopsis lyrata subsp. lyrata, 1602 nucleotides long. RefSeq lists it as uncharacterized. The record is from RefSeq and is a predicted model, not a curated record. The transcript has 2 exons. NCBI's taxonomy places the organism in Eukaryota, Viridiplantae, Streptophyta, Magnoliopsida, Brassicales, Brassicaceae.